RNAcentral lists this ribosomal RNA (518 nucleotides) under uncultured Glomus. Its description in RNAcentral is "SSU rRNA". It matches the Rfam family "Eukaryotic small subunit ribosomal RNA", at positions 569 to 1091 of the family's 1831-position model. The record is from RNAcentral. Lineage: Eukaryota; Fungi; Glomeromycota; Glomeromycetes; Glomerales; Glomeraceae.
AGCAGCCGCGGUAAUUCCAGCUCCAAUAGCGUAUAUUAAAGUUGUUGCAGUUAAAAAGCUCGUAGUUGAAUUUCGAGAUCAAUUUGUCGGUCGUGCCUCGGUACGUACUGGCAUUAUUGAUUUCUCCCUUCUGAAGAACCGCGAUGUCAUUAAUUUGGUGUCGUGGGGAAUCAGGACUGUUACUUUGAAAAAAUUAGAGUGUUUAAAGCAGGCUCACGCUUGAAUACAUUAGCAUGGAAUAACGAAAUAGGACGUUUGAUUCUAUUUUGUUGGUUUCUAGGAUCGACGUAAUGAUUAAUAGGGAUAGUUGGGGGCAUUAGUAUUCAAUUGUCAGAGGUGAAAUUCUUGGAUUUAUUGAAGACUAACUACUGCGAAAGCAUUUGCCAAGGAUGUUUUCAUUAAUCAAGAACGAAAGUUAGGGGAUCGAAGACGAUCAGAUACCGUCGUAGUCUUAACCAUAAACUAUGCCGACUAGGGAUCGGAUGAUGUAAUUUUUAAUGACUCAUUCGCGCCUUAAC